This 487-nucleotide ribosomal RNA is filed under the name uncultured bacterium. Its description in RNAcentral is "partial 16S ribosomal RNA". It matches the Rfam family "Bacterial small subunit ribosomal RNA", at positions 355 to 833 of the family's 1533-position model. The record is from RNAcentral.
UGGGGAAUUUUGGACAAUGGGCGAAAGCCUGAUCCAGCAAUGCCGCGUGUGUGAAGAAGGCCUUCGGGUUGUAAAGCACUUUUGUCCGGAAAGAAAUGGCUCUGGUUAAUACCUGGGGUCGAUGACGGUACCGGAAGAAUAAGGACCGGCUAACUACGUGCCAGCAGCCGCGGUAAUACGUAGGGUCCAAGCGUUAAUCGGAAUUACUGGGCGUAAAGCGUGCGCAGGCGGUUGUGCAAGACCGAUGUGAAAUCCCCGAGCUUAACUUGGGAAUUGCAUUGGUGACUGCACGGCUAGAGUGUGUCAGAGGGGGGUAGAAUUCCACGUGUAGCAGUGAAAUGCGUAGAGAUGUGGAGGAAUACCGAUGGCGAAGGCAGCCCCCUGGGAUAACACUGACGCUCAUGCACGAAAGCGUGGGGAGCAAACAGGAUUAGAUACCCUGGUAGUCCACGCCCCUAAACGAUGUCAACUAGUUGUUGGGGAUUCA